This is a long non-coding RNA of Argiope bruennichi, 1738 nucleotides long. RefSeq lists it as uncharacterized. The transcript has 3 exons. The record is from RefSeq and is a predicted model, not a curated record. Lineage: Eukaryota; Metazoa; Arthropoda; Arachnida; Araneae; Araneidae.
UUCAACUUUUGAUUUGUGUUGAGCUUUCGCUAUAUCACUUAUGCAGAGAAUCUAAGCUGUUUUAUUCAAUCGUUCAUCUGUCAUGCAAAAAAUAUGGAUAUAAAAUCAAUUUACCAAUUUUAUUAUUAUGCAGAUUUUGUCUCUAUAUUUAGAUCAUAUAAAUUGUAUCAAAUGAAUAAAUGUCUGUAUGGAAAUGAUAUAACCUGAUUCGUCUAAGAUCUCAGAUUUUAUUGAGUUGUGUUAUUAAGAAAGGAUUAAUGGAUAUUAAGAAAGUAUGUCAUUUUUAUUGGAUAAACAAAAAAUCUCUGCAAUUCUUAGUAAGCUAGAAUGAGAGAAGGUGUCUGAAAAAAUCUCAUUGAAGAAGACAAUGGAGUUAAAAUAAUUCAGAAGAACAUUCUAUCAAAGUUGUCAAGAAAUACUUUGAAUUUCAAGUGAAAAUUAGAAGUAUCAAAGUAAUGCUUUUUUUAAAACUUGCCGCCUUUGGAAACUAAUUGUUCCGCAGUCUCCUCGAACGACCAGCUGGUUCGCCGAAAAUAUUGUUACGGAUUUUUCGACGUCUCUCUUGAUUUGUUGGUCGAUGAAAUAAACAGUCCUUAGUAAAAAAUGGCAACGUUUAUUGAGCACGUUAGAAGGACACUAAUAGAAGGACAGAAAAUAUACAGCUGAGACGAACACAGGCAACGCACGGCAGCACACUACAACAAACAUUAGCCCACAAAUAGUAACCAGUAGUGAUAAAAACCACAGCACACAAAGCGAACCAGACAGAAUUCAGCAGAAGGAGGGAAUCUACGUAGCUUCACUCUACGAUCUCUCCAAACGUCUGCAAUUCACCACUUUCUCCUCGCUUUAUCUGUAUCCAACUGCCGAUUCCACACACGACUCGAUGCUGCUUCCAUAAUUAACAGGACUUGGCAAACAACUCAAUUCAGCAAUGGCUUGAGCUCGACACAACGCUUGCGCUUCGCCGGACUGAUCCAAAUAUUCCAUCGUCUCUUUCCAUGACUCUUUUCACAACUACGACUGACUGCAGCUUAAGACUGCCGACCUUUUAUAGUUCCCAGAAGGCGGGCAGAGAAGGUCCUGGACCAAUCAGGCGUAUAUCGAUUCAUAUUGGCUCAAUUGCUAAAAUUCUGAAAGUUUCCAGUAAUAUCUAUUGUAUCACCAUAGUCGCAAAGUUUGUCGCAAAGUUUUGAGAUUAUUGACGCGGCACUGGAUCAAAAUGGUCUUUCCAGUGAUUGAACUAAUCGUGCUGGGAAACAACAUUACAGGUUUGUAACAGUAUAGAUUAGAUAUGAUUUCAGAUGAAUCGUGAACAUCAUAAUUCCGGUCAAACUGUCAAACUUUAAAGCCGUGAUGAGCCUUUCUUAGAGUGACAAUCCCAUAACAUCAUAUCGUUAUUAAAAAUAGAAAUAUCCGGUUCAUUUAUAUUCUGAGUUUCGCGGUACUUCACUUGCUUUUUUAGCUUGUAAUCUGCUCAGAUAUUUAACAAAAUUUUCCUUCUUUAGUUUGCAACAAUGAAAGAAUAUUACGCGAUAAAAUAGUUGAAGAAACAAUGAAAAUGAUUUGAAUUUUAGAUCAACAAUAUAAUGUAUUACUGGUAAUUAGGCAAAAAGAUAUUCUUAAAAAUUACUAAAAUUCAAUAAAAAUUCGCAUUACUAAUUAAUUAUUAAAAAAACAAUUUGUAAAUUUUGAAAUGGUGUAAAAUUAUUUUUAGCAAUAAUGUUUCUUCAAGUUA